This is a long non-coding RNA of Octopus sinensis (East Asian common octopus), 325 nucleotides long. RefSeq lists it as uncharacterized. The transcript is spliced from 3 exons. Lineage: Eukaryota; Metazoa; Mollusca; Cephalopoda; Octopoda; Octopodidae. The record is from RefSeq and is a predicted model, not a curated record.
AACUUUAAUGAAUACAUUCGACCAAGUUUUAGAAGAAAGAAACUCUUAUUACUCUCAGUGCAUGGAAAAUUCUGGAACUUUGACUCCUCGACCCGAUUGGUCACAGCUUUCUCCUUAUUUGACAACUGGACAAGAUAGUUGGUCAAAACUGAUCCACGAAAAAACUAGUGCUGAAGUUUUUUCGCUAUUAAUAUCUGAAUUAUCGAAUCAAAAAUUUAAAGUAGAUGAACCCGAAGGCCUGGGGACAUCGAAAUAUAAUGGGAAAAUAAAACCUAUUGAAAUUUUAGAAAGUGAGAUAAAUACAAUUUUUGCCGGUUUUUGGAAA